UCACAAUGCUUCUUCCUGUAACAUUCUAUCUACAGCUGCUGACGUUUCCAGUUUCCAUGCAGGAAGACAGGUAGGAGGAGAUAAUUUGGCAAAGAGAUUUGCAGAGUGUCGGGUGACCGGCAAAGAGAUCUGCAAAGUGUCAGUUGAAGACGACGGGAGGGCCGCAGAGGUAGCAACGACUGGAGUAUAACAUGCAGGAGAUCAUCAUUUGGCAAAGUUCUGGCAAAGAGAUUUGCAGAGUGUCGGGUGACCGGCAAAGAGAUCUGCAAAGUGUCAGUUGAAGACGACGGGAGGGGUCGCAGAGGAAUUAGUGACUGGAGAAUAGAAUGCAGGAGUGGGUGAUCAAUGAAUAGCUGCCCUAUUAGGAGAUGCGGUAAAGGUGCCGGCUGUCGGGUUUACGGCAGUCAGAAUACUGACACUGGGAUCCCGACACUCUUCAGAAUCCCGACGUUGGAACUCCGAAUGGGCAAGGAUGCCGACGCCCGUAUCCCCACGAUCAUAGGUUUAGGGCUGGGCAUGGGGGGGUUAGGAGGGUUAGGUUUCCGCGUCAGACGGGGAGGUUAGGUUUAGACAUCAGGUGGGGGGUGGUUAGGGUUAGGCUGCGGAUAGGGUGGGUUAGGCACCCCCGGGGAAGGUUAGGCUGCGU
Long non-coding RNA from Pseudophryne corroboree (corroboree frog), 646 nucleotides. RefSeq lists it as uncharacterized. The transcript is spliced from 4 exons. NCBI's taxonomy places the organism in Eukaryota, Metazoa, Chordata, Amphibia, Anura, Myobatrachidae. The record is from RefSeq and is a predicted model, not a curated record.